Molecule: ribosomal RNA, 455 nt
Filed under: uncultured bacterium
Lineage: Bacteria
Description: bacterial SSU rRNA
Rfam family: Bacterial small subunit ribosomal RNA
Source: RNAcentral
UACGGAAGGCAGCAGUGGGGAAUAUUGCACAAUGGGCGCAAGCCUGAUGCAGCCAUGCCGCGUGUAUGAAGAAGGCCUUCGGGCUGUAAAGUACUUUCAGUCGUGAGGAAGGUGUUAAGGUUAAUAACCUUAGCAAUUGACGUUAGCGACAGAAGAAGCACCGGCUAACUCCGUGCCAGCAGCCGCGGUAAUACGGAGGGUGCGAGCGUUAAUCGGAAUUACUGGGCGUAAAGGGCACGCAGGCGGUUAAUUAAGUUGGAUGUGAAAUCCCCGGGCUUAACCUGGGAAUGGCAUUCAAGACUGGUUAGCUAGAGUCUUGUAGAGGGGGUAGAAUUCCGAUGUGUAGCGGUGAAAUGCGUAGAGAUGUGGAGGAAUACCGGUGGCGAAGGCGGCCCCUGGGACAAAGGCUGACGCUCAUGUGCGAAAGCGUGGGGAGCAAACAGGGAUUAGAUACC